UGGGGGAUAUUGCACAAUGGGCGAAAGCCUGAUGCAGCGACGCCGCGAGGGGGAUGAAGGCCUUCGGGUUGUAAACUUCUUUUGCUCUGAACAAGGCGCACCAUGGGGUGUGUUGAGUGUAGGGGUUGAUUAGCGCCGGCUAACUACGUGCCAGCAGCCGCGGUAAUACGUAGGGCGCGAGCGUUGUCCGGAAUUAUUGGGCGUAAAGGGCUUGUAGGUGGCUGGUUGCGUCUGUCGUGAAAGCUCAUGGCUUAACUGUGGGUUUGCGGUGGGUACGGGCUGGCUUGAGUGCAGUAGGGGAGGCUGGAAUUCCUGGUGUAGCGGUGGAAUGCGCAGAUAUCAGGAGGAAUACCGGUGGCGAAGGCGGGUCUCUGGGCUGUUACUGACACUGAGGAGCGAAAGCAUGGGGAGCGAACAGG
RNAcentral lists this ribosomal RNA (419 nucleotides) under bacterium. Its description in RNAcentral is "partial 16S ribosomal RNA". It matches the Rfam family "Bacterial small subunit ribosomal RNA", at positions 355 to 776 of the family's 1533-position model. The record is from RNAcentral.